Molecule: ribosomal RNA, 259 nt
Filed under: uncultured bacterium
Lineage: Bacteria
Description: partial 16S ribosomal RNA
Rfam family: Bacterial small subunit ribosomal RNA
Source: RNAcentral
UACGAAGGGGGCUAGCGUUGCUCGGAAUCACUGGGCGUAAAGCGCACGUAGGCGGAUUGCUAAGUCAGGGGUGAAAUCCUGGAGCUCAACUCCAGAACUGCCUUUGAUACUGAGGAUCUUGAGUUCGGGAGAGGUGAGUGGAACUGCGAGUGUAGAGGUGAAAUUCGUAGAUAUUCGCAAGAACACCAGUGGCGAAGGCGGCUCACUGGCCCGAUACUGACGCUGAGCACGAAAGCGUGGGGAGCAACAGGAGUUAAGA